RNAcentral lists this ribosomal RNA (463 nucleotides) under uncultured bacterium. RNAcentral's name for it is "SSU rRNA". It matches the Rfam family "Bacterial small subunit ribosomal RNA", at positions 26 to 518 of the family's 1533-position model. The record is from RNAcentral.
AGGAUUAACGCUGGCGGCGUGCCUAACACAUGCAAGUCGAACGAGGUAGCAAUACCUAGUGGCAGACGGGUGAGUAACGCGUGGUCAACCUACCGUUGAGUGGGGGAUAACUAGCCGAAAGGUUAGCUAAUACCGCAUACGAGUCUCGGGGGCAUCCCUGAGCCUUAAAAGGAGCAAUCCGCUCGAUGACGGGACCGCGUCCCAUUAGCUAGAUGGUGGGGUAACGCCUACCAUGGCACCGAUGGGUAGCUGGUUUGAGAGAGCGACCAGCCACACUGGGACUGAGAAACGGCCCAGACUCCUACGGGAGGCAGCAGUGAGGAAUUUUCCGCAAUGGGCGAAAGCCUGACGGAGCGACGCCGCGUGUGGGAAGAAGGCCUUCGGGUCGUAAACCACUGUCGAAGGGGACGAUAAUGACGGUACCCUUGGAGGAAGCCCCGGCUAACUACGUGCCAGCAGCCGC